CACGUUACAAAAAUAAAACCAUUCAAUCAAAACCAUUUGCAAAAGCAGGUAAAAGAAAUAAAAUAAAACCAGAAAAAGGACCAGAAAGAAACCCCUCCUUGGCGAGCAGUUAAGGGAGAAGCUGGAAGCAACAGUAAGAAAGGGAAAAGCACGGCUUCAGAGUAGUUUCAGUUGGAUUUUCUGGUGAGAUUCUCGCACCCUUGUUCUUUUCUCUUCUUUCCUUAUUGUUCUGUUAUUUCUGAAGCUGUAAUAAAUCUGCUAUUUCUAAGAAUAAAUAUUAAGCUAUUGUUCAGAAGUGCAUAACUAGGAAACUACCAAAUUAAUGCAUUAAAUAGUUAAUCGAAUUAUAUCUUUGGUUGUUAUCUAAAUUGAUGUCUUAACGGUUAGAAUGUGUAUUAUAUAUAUAUGAAAUGUGACAUUAUAAGAUGAAUUAAUAAGUUAUUAGAAUUUAAAUUGAUAGUAUAGAAAUGUUAUAUAUGGAGAUAUAUAGUCGAAUGAUGAGAUUGAAGUUGAAUAAUGUUUGUUAAUGUAUGGAGUUAAAUAAAAUCUCGUGUUUACAUGCUAGGUAAGUUUGUAGUCUUGAAACUCAAACGUCAUUUACUUAAUUUAAUUAGUUAAUUGUUAAUUAUUAUUUAAGUAUGUUUUUAUUUGUAUUUGGUUAAGCUCUAUUGAAUGGAUAUUGACAAAAUCAUAAAUAGAUAGAAUGUGGCAUUAUGUUACAAAAUUAAUGUAUGAUUAGUAGAUAAUUCCAAUGGAAGUGCCAUUAAAUUAUGAAAUUUGAUAUUGAGUUAUGAAAAGUAAAAAUUAUGGACUUGCAAAAGAAUAAUUGACAUCGUCGAUUCGUUCGGCUAGUGCUGGGCUCAAAUAUCAUUGGUUUAUCCAACUAGAGCAGGGCACACUAAUUAUUCGUCGGUUUAUCUGACUAGCGCUGGGCGUAACUUUCGUUCAGUUUAAUUUUAGUUUAUAUUUAAGUGAAAUAUAUGAACCUAAUUGCAUAAUAUUAGAUUAUAUUGAUGUGUGCAAUUGAAAACAAAAAUAACAAAUUGAUAUUACGUCGAUCAUUGAUUGAGAAACUUGGAGCCAUUACUGCAAAUUAGUUUUGCAAGUUAAUUAAUAUGAACUCAAUUAUGUUUCUAUGUGUUUAUGAAUAUUAAAUUUUAAAUGAUGUAAAAUUGUUGAUAUUAAAUUGAUUAUUGAUAGAACAGGAAUUGUAAAAAGUUACAAAAAUGAUAAUUUCUGAUAUCAGUGGAGACAGGUUGCAUUCGCACGUAAGACCAUAGCGAGGCUAUGACAAAUAUUCAAACGUAAGACCAUGGUUGGACCAUGGCAGUGUUUAUAUGUAAGACCACAUAUUCAAUCGUCUGCACAAUAUUCAUCAAUUAUAGAAAAGGGAUGGUUUCGACCAUCGUUUAGCACACUUUGUGUAACAGCCCGAUUUUGACCCAAAUCGGAACAAUGGUUUCGGGACCACACAUCCGAGUCUGAAAAGUCUUUUAAUAUUUUUUUCUGUUUUUAUUAUGUGUGAAUUUAUAUGUGUGAAAGUUUCGUGAAUUAAUUUUAUUGUUUGAGUGCUUAAUUUGAGAAUAGGGCUUAAUCGCAUAAAAUAAAAAAAUUAGUGGUUAAUUAUGAAAGAGCCUAAUUGUUGUUGUCUUUGUAUUUUGGAGGUUCUAUGAUGCAAUUAGUCCACUAUAUAAUUUAGUGGAUGGUAAUGGUCAAGAAUGACCUUAUAUUAUAUGUUAUAUAUAUAUAUUAGUAAAGGUUAAAUUAGUAAAAUAAUAAUAAGUUAGUAUAAUGAUAACUAAAUAAAACCAAAGCAUGUAAAUGGCCAUUAUCAUCUUUGUUCUUGCCGAAAAUACAAAGAAAAAGAAAAGAGAAAAAGGGUUCUAGGGUUCGACACAUGCAUUGGCUAAUUAGGUAUAUGUUUUUGAUUUAUUUUAGAUAAUUUUUAUAUUUUUGUGAUUGUUGUUUAGCACUCUAUCUAGCCCAUGCCUCAAUUUUGAAAUUUGAUGAUGAUUUUGAGUUAAGCUAUUGAUGCUUUUGUAGGUUUUGUGAUGAUAAUUGAUGAAAAAUAAAAUAUAUUUGUUAGAUUGACAUGUUUUGUUUUUGAAUUUUUGGUGAAAUUGAGUAAUUAGGAUUAAAUUGUGAAAAUAAAUUUUUGAGAGACUAAAAUGCUAAAUAAAUGAAAAAUAUGGACUUGUAUGGACACUAGGAAAAUUCGACACUUAAGGAGUGUAGUCAAAUUUUGUGUAUUUUGUGUUUUGAGGAAAAAGGAUUAAAUUGUAAAAAGUGUGAAAUGUUAGGGGCAAAAUUGUAAUUUUCCCAUUCAUGUGUUUUUAGGCUAAAUUAAAUAGAAUGGUGUUUAAAUAAGAAUAAUUUGAAUAUGUUUAGAUCAAGAAUUAGAGAAAUCAUAUUUUGAUCGGGGAAAGACAAAAGUGGUUGAGUAGCCGAUUUAGAACUCGACAACAUCCGAGGUAAGUCUGUAAGCGUUUAAAUGUUGAUAUAAUUAUAAAAUUGUAAUUUUUAUUUACCGAAUUGAAUUUUUGGGAAUAAUUUGGGCUAUGGCCGAAUAUGGUAUUAUGAUGUGGCUACUUUUCGAGUUUGAUUCGAACGAGAUCUGACGUCCGUAAGCCCCAUAUGAACCUUAGGAAUAGUUAGGAUACAUAUGUCAUGACAUAGGAUUUUCGAGGUGUGUUAUCGUGUAAGACCACGUUUGGGACGUUGGCAUCAACUUUUGUUUACGUGUGAGACCCUGUCUGGGACAGUGGCAUCGAUACGUGAUUACAAGUAAGACCACGUCUGGGAUGUUGGCAUUGUAAGAGUUUCCGACUAUCUGCGUAUCCUUUUUAAUUCCGAAUGGUUCAACGGGCAAUAUGAAAUAAAGUCCGUUCAUGGAAAGGUAUAAAAGUUUCAGGUAUGAAUUAGCCAUUUAAUUACAAGGGAAUAAGAUGAGUUAGUUAAUUGAAUUGGUAAAAGUUAUCAAUUUGAUUAUGUAUUACAAGCUAACCAUUUGUAUAUUGGAAUGUUUUGGGCUGUUGAUAUAUGAUAUAAAAUAUCUAUGUUUUGAGUACAGGUAUUCGGCUUGUGCAAGAUUUAUAUAUAAAAAAAUGGUUAUCAUUGUUUAGAUGUUAAAUGAUGCUACGUAAUUGAUAUUCGAUUAUAUUUACUUAAUGUUUUUGAGCAAAUAUUUAUACGUAAGAUUUUGCUUAUGACUUACUAAGCUCAAGAAGCUUACUUUGUGUGUGUAUUUUGCUUGUGUCUGUUUUAUAGAUUUUGGAGUCGCAUUACGAGCUCAGGGAUUGUCAGCAUAGUCUAUCACACUAUCGAUAUCUUUUCGGUACUUUGAUAAUUUUUUGAACUCGAUAUUAUGGCAUGUAUAGGCUUGCUUAUGUUUUUGGUUAGUUUUGGAAUAUGUAUAUAAAUGGUCAUGCGAAAAUGGUUCAUCUUAUUUUGAUCGAGUUUGGUGUUUAUGCAUAUGGUUUUAAUGGUCAUGUAAAUGGGGUUUAUAAUUUUGCAUAUUGAAUUAUGGUAUAAGUUUGUGAUAUAAUAAUAAAUGUGAUAUAUAUAUAGUUUGGAC
Molecule: long non-coding RNA, 3574 nt
Filed under: Gossypium barbadense (sea-island cotton)
Lineage: Eukaryota; Viridiplantae; Streptophyta; Magnoliopsida; Malvales; Malvaceae
Description: long non-coding RNA (GBAR_LNC021080)
Source: RNAcentral